Molecule: non-coding RNA, 110 nt
Filed under: Methanobacteriota archaeon
Lineage: Archaea; Methanobacteriati; Methanobacteriota
Description: Euryarchaeota archaeon TPP sequence
Rfam family: TPP riboswitch aptamer (THI element)
About the family: Vitamin B(1) in its active form thiamin pyrophosphate (TPP) is an essential coenzyme that is synthesised by coupling of pyrimidine and thiazole moieties in bacteria. The previously detected thiamin-regulatory element, thi box was extended, resulting in a new, highly conserved RNA secondary structure, the THI element, which is widely distributed in eubacteria and also occurs in some archaea.
Source: RNAcentral
UGGCCUCAGACGGGGAGCCCCUGAGGGGCUGAGAGUAUCCCGCGUGAGGGAUAGACCCUUGGAACCUGAUCCGGGUCAUGCCGGCGUAGGGAGUUCGGGGAGAGAUCAGC